RNAcentral lists this ribosomal RNA (253 nucleotides) under uncultured bacterium. RNAcentral's name for it is "partial 16S ribosomal RNA". It matches the Rfam family "Bacterial small subunit ribosomal RNA", at positions 524 to 776 of the family's 1533-position model. The record is from RNAcentral.
UACGAAGGGGGCUAGCGUUGCUCGGAAUGACUGGGCGUAAAGGGCGCGUAGGCGGUUCGUACAGUCAGACGUGAAAUUCCCGGGCUCAACCUGGGGGCUGCGUUUGAUACGUGCGGGCUUGAGUUCGGAAGAGGGUCGUGGAAUUCCCAGUGUAGAGGUGAAAUUCGUAGAUAUUGGGAAGAACACCGGUGGCGAAGGCGGCGCUCUGGACCGAGACUGACGCUGAGGCGCGAAAGCGUGGGGAGCGAACAGG